GGAGAGGUGCCAGAGCGGUUGAAUGGGCACGACUGGAAAUCGUGUAAUGGGGAAACUCAUUCGGGGGUUCGAAUCCCCCUCUCUCCG
This 87-nucleotide transfer RNA is filed under the name Patulibacter sp. RNAcentral describes it as "tRNA-Ser". It matches the Rfam family "tRNA". Rfam says of the family: Transfer RNA (tRNA) molecules are approximately 80 nucleotides in length. Their secondary structure includes four short double-helical elements and three loops (D, anti-codon, and T loops). RNAcentral also lists the same sequence under 2 other names. The record is from RNAcentral. Lineage: Bacteria; Bacillati; Actinomycetota; Thermoleophilia; Solirubrobacterales; Patulibacteraceae.